This 160-nucleotide small RNA is filed under the name Notechis scutatus (mainland tiger snake). RNAcentral's name for it is "TUC338 (ENSNSUG00000009474.1)". Lineage: Eukaryota; Metazoa; Chordata; Lepidosauria; Squamata; Elapidae. The record is from RNAcentral.
UUGACAGCAGGGAAGAUUGAAAUUCUCAAUUUAUCCACCGAGCAGAUAGAGUUGAGCAGAGACAAUAAUCCUUCAAUAUACCACAGCCCUGACAAGAAGUGACCAUUUCUAAGGAUAAGAGAGAGAUGUAGGCAAUGUCUCUGUUCAGUCCUUCACUUCU